RNAcentral lists this ribosomal RNA (328 nucleotides) under uncultured bacterium. RNAcentral describes it as "bacterial SSU rRNA". It matches the Rfam family "Bacterial small subunit ribosomal RNA", at positions 570 to 898 of the family's 1533-position model. The record is from RNAcentral.
UGUAGGCGGUUGGUUAAGUUUGGUGUGAAAUCUCCCGGCUCAACUGGGAGGGUGCGCCGAAUACUGAGUGACUAGAGUGCGGGAGAGGAAAGUGGAAUUCCUGGUGUAGCGGUGAAAUGCGUAGAUAUCAGGAGGAACACCGGUGGUGUAGACGGCUUUCUGGACCGUAACUGACGCUGAAACACGAAAGCGUGGGUAGCAAACAGGAUUAGAUACCCUGGUAGUCCACGCCCUAAACGAUGCAUAUUUGGUGUGGGCAGUUCAUUCUGUCCGUGCCGGAGCUAACGCGUUAAAUAUGCCGCCUGGGGAGUACAGUCGCAAGGCUGAA